GAUGAACGCUGGCGGCGUGCCUAAUACAUGCAAGUCGAGCGAACAGACGAGGAGCUUGCUCCUUUGACGUUAGCGGCGGACGGGUGAGUAACACGUGGGUAACCUACCUAUAAGACUGGGAUAACUUCGGGAAACCGGAGCUAAUACCGGAUAAUAUUUCGAACCGCAUGGUUCGAUAGUGAAAGAUGGCUCUGCUAUCACUUAUAGAUGGACCUGCACCGUAUUAGCUAGUUGGUAAGGUAACGGCUUACCAAGGCAACGAUACGUAGCCGACCUGAGAGGGUGAUCGGCCACACUGGAACUGAGACACGGUCCAGACUCCUACGGGAGGCAGCAGUAGGGAAUCUUCCGCAAUGGGCGAAAGCCUGACGGAGCAACGCCGCGUGAGUGAUGAAGGUCUUCGGAUCGUAAAACUCUGUUAUUAGGGAAGAACAAACGUGUAAGUAACUGUGCACGUCUUGACGGUACCUAAUCAGAAAGCCACGGCUAACUACGUG
Molecule: ribosomal RNA, 497 nt
Filed under: uncultured bacterium
Lineage: Bacteria
Description: partial 16S ribosomal RNA
Rfam family: Bacterial small subunit ribosomal RNA
Source: RNAcentral